This 220-nucleotide ribosomal RNA is filed under the name uncultured bacterium. RNAcentral's name for it is "partial 16S ribosomal RNA". It matches the Rfam family "Bacterial small subunit ribosomal RNA", at positions 96 to 334 of the family's 1533-position model. The record is from RNAcentral.
CGGCAGACGGUGAGUAACGCGUGGGAACAUACCUUUUGGUUCGGAACAACACAGGGAAACUUGUGCUAAUACCGGAUAAGCCCUUACGGGGAAAGAUUUAUCGCCGAGAGAUUGGCCCGCGUCUGAUUAGCUAGUUGGUGAGGUAAGAGCUCACCAAGGCGACGAUCAGUAGCUGGUCUGAGAGGAUGAUCAGCCACAUUGGGACUGAGACACGGCCCAA